This 495-nucleotide ribosomal RNA is filed under the name uncultured bacterium. RNAcentral's name for it is "partial 16S ribosomal RNA". It matches the Rfam family "Bacterial small subunit ribosomal RNA", at positions 28 to 507 of the family's 1533-position model. The record is from RNAcentral.
GACGAACGCUGGCGGCGUGCCUAAUACAUGCAAGUAGAACGCUGAAGGAGGAGCUUGCUUCUCUGGAUGAGUUGCGAACGGGUGAGUAACGCGUAGGUAACCUGCCUGGUAGCGGGGGAUAACUAUUGGAAACGAUAGCUAAUACCGCAUAAGAGUAGAUGUUGCAUGACAUUUGCUUAAAAGGUGCAAUUGCAUCACUACCAGAUGGACCUGCGUUGUAUUAGCUAGUUGGUGAGGUAACGGCUCACCAAGGCGACGAUACAUAGCCGACCUGAGAGGGUGAUCGGCCACACUGGGACUGAGACACGGCCCAGACUCCUACGGGAGGCAGCAGUAGGGAAUCUUCGGCAAUGGACGGAAGUCUGACCGAGCAGCGCCGCGUGAGUGAAGAAGGUUUUCGGAUCGUAAAGCUCUGUUGUAAGAGAAGAACGAGUGUGAGAGUGGAAAGUUCACACUGUGACGGUAUCUUACCAGAAAGGGACGGCUAACUACGUG